RNAcentral lists this transfer RNA (82 nucleotides) under Mallomonas splendens. RNAcentral describes it as "tRNA-Tyr". It matches the Rfam family "tRNA". From Rfam's summary of the family: Transfer RNA (tRNA) molecules are approximately 80 nucleotides in length. Their secondary structure includes four short double-helical elements and three loops (D, anti-codon, and T loops). The record is from RNAcentral. Lineage: Eukaryota; Synurophyceae; Synurales; Mallomonadaceae.
GGGAUGAUGCCCGAGUGGUUAAUGGGAUGGAUUGUAAAUCCAUUGACUUUUGUCUACAUAGGUUCAAAUCCUAUUCAUCCCA